This 135-nucleotide small nucleolar RNA is filed under the name Mola mola (ocean sunfish). RNAcentral describes it as "Small nucleolar RNA SNORA5 (ENSMMOG00000018015.1)". It matches the Rfam family "Small nucleolar RNA SNORA5". From Rfam's summary of the family: ACA5 is a member of the H/ACA class of snoRNA that guide the sites of modification of uridines to pseudouridines. Lineage: Eukaryota; Metazoa; Chordata; Actinopteri; Tetraodontiformes; Molidae. The record is from Rfam by way of RNAcentral.
UGCAGCUUUGUCAAAUUCAGUGCUCCCUCCUUAGUAGGUUGCACUGGCCAAAAUGGCUGCAACAAUGAUUGUAGUUCAUGGGCCUCACAUUUUGUCAUCCUGGAUUGUGGGGAUAAAUGUGUGCUACAGACAAAA